Molecule: long non-coding RNA, 293 nt
Filed under: Cyanistes caeruleus (blue tit)
Lineage: Eukaryota; Metazoa; Chordata; Aves; Passeriformes; Paridae
Description: lncRNA (ENSCCEG00000019898.1)
Source: RNAcentral
CUGGAAGAAAACUCCUGCAUACAUGUGUGCUGAUGUGAGUUGCAGAAAUCAGGAAUGGCAACACUGGAGACACAGCUCAGUCUGAAUGGCCCAUAAGCAAUUCCCACUGGAUGAGUGAGACCAGACUGAAGUUGUUCUGAAAGAAGUUGUGAGAUGUGUUUUUCUUCAGAAAAUAUAAAAUCUAUCAGAGCAAAAGAAAAUUGAUGCUUCCACAUAUCCGUUAGGUGAACUGGUCAAGUACAGCCAUCCCAAUGGGAAAAUUCUGUCACAUAUCAGCACUUCUGGACUUCUCA